RNAcentral lists this transfer RNA (98 nucleotides) under Tsukamurella paurometabola. RNAcentral's name for it is "tRNA-Pro(tgg)". Lineage: Bacteria; Bacillati; Actinomycetota; Actinomycetes; Mycobacteriales; Tsukamurellaceae. The record is from RNAcentral.
CCGCGAUGUGGCUGAACGGUGGGUUGCGCACCGCUUGGAACGGUGCCCUCCGAACCCAAGAACCCAGGUCGGUAGGAUCGAGGCGCACAUCGAAGACC